RNAcentral lists this ribosomal RNA (253 nucleotides) under uncultured bacterium. Its description in RNAcentral is "partial 16S ribosomal RNA". It matches the Rfam family "Bacterial small subunit ribosomal RNA", at positions 524 to 776 of the family's 1533-position model. The record is from RNAcentral.
UACGUAGGGGGCGAGCGUUGUCCGGAAUUAUUGGGCGUAAAGAGCUCGUAGGCGGUCUGUUGCGUCGGCUGUGAAAACCCGGGGCUCAACCCCGGGCCUGCAGCCGAUACGGGCAGACUAGAGUUCGGCAGGGGAGACUGGAAUUCCUGGUGUAGCGGUGAAAUGCGCAGAUAUCAGGAGGAACACCAAUGGCGAAGGCAGAUCUCUGGGCCGUAACUGACGCUGAGGAGCGAAAGCAUGGGGAGCGAACAGG